RNAcentral lists this transfer RNA (61 nucleotides) under Gossypium arboreum. It matches the Rfam family "tRNA". From Rfam's summary of the family: Transfer RNA (tRNA) molecules are approximately 80 nucleotides in length. Lineage: Eukaryota; Viridiplantae; Streptophyta; Magnoliopsida; Malvales; Malvaceae. The record is from Rfam by way of RNAcentral.
GGGAUUGUAGUUCAAUCGGUCAGAGCACCGCCCUGUCAAGGCGGAAGCUCUUCCUGUUCUA